This 460-nucleotide ribosomal RNA is filed under the name uncultured bacterium. Its description in RNAcentral is "partial 16S ribosomal RNA". It matches the Rfam family "Bacterial small subunit ribosomal RNA", at positions 338 to 795 of the family's 1533-position model. The record is from RNAcentral.
CCUACGGGUGGCUGCAGUGAGGAAUAUUGGUCAAUGGGCGCGAGCCUGAACCAGCCAAGUCGCGUGAGGGAGGACGGCCCUACGGGUUGUAAACCUCUUUUGCCGGGGAGCAACGGGCGUCACGUGUGGCGCCACUGAGAGUACCCGGAGAAAAAGCAUCGGCUAACUCCGUGCCAGCAGCCGCGGUAAUACGGAGGAUGCGAGCGUUAUCCGGAUUUAUUGGGUUUAAAGGGUGCGUAGGCGGAUCGUUAAGUCAGUGGUCAAAUUGAGGGGCUCAACCCCUUCCCGCCAUUGAUACUGGCGCUCUUGAGUACAGUAGAGGUGGGCGGAAUUCGUGGUGUAGCGGUGAAAUGCUUAGAUAUCACGAAGAACUCCGAUUGCGAAGGCAGUUCACUGGACUGCAACUGACACUGAGGCUCGAAAGUGUGGGUAUCAAACAGGAUUAGAUACCCGGGUAGUC